RNAcentral lists this ribosomal RNA (216 nucleotides) under Glomeromycotina sp. RNAcentral's name for it is "partial small subunit ribosomal RNA". The stretch from base 40 to 216 matches the Rfam family "Eukaryotic small subunit ribosomal RNA", at positions 686 to 864 of the family's 1831-position model. Lineage: Eukaryota; Fungi; Glomeromycota. The record is from RNAcentral.
GGGUCAGUAGGUUGGUCGUGCCACCGGUACGUACUGGUCUCACUGAUUCCUCCAUCCUGAAGAACCGUAAUGCCAUUAAUUUGGUGUUGCGGGGAAACAGGACUGUUACUUUGAAAAAAUUAGAGUGAUUAAAGCAAGCUAACGCUUGAAUACAUUAGCAUGGAAUAAUGAAAUAGGACGAUCGAUCCUAUUUUGUUGGUUUCUAGGAUUGACGUA